RNAcentral lists this ribosomal RNA (749 nucleotides) under uncultured eukaryote. RNAcentral's name for it is "bacterial SSU rRNA". It matches the Rfam family "Eukaryotic small subunit ribosomal RNA", at positions 662 to 1426 of the family's 1831-position model. The record is from RNAcentral.
UUCGGGGAGUGAGUGCUGGUAUGAGUCUGUCAUCCUUCUAGAGGGCCAUGCCUGCUGUUCAUUCAGCUGGGCGUGUGCUAUCUAGAUCUUUUACUUUGAAAAAAUUAGAGUGUUUAAAGCAGGCUUAUGCUGUGAAUACAUUAGCAUGGAAUAAUAAUUUAGGACUUUGGUUCUAUUUUGUUGGUUUCUAGGACUGAAGUAAUGAUUGAUAGGGAUAGUUGGGGGUGCUAGUAUUCCGCGGCCAGAGGUGAAAUUCUUGGAUUUAUGAAAGAUGAACUCCUGCGAAAGCAUUUAUCAAGGAUGUUCUCAUUAAUCAAGAACGAAAGUUAGGGGAUCGAAGACGAUCAGAUACCGUCGUAGUCUUAACCAUAAACUUUGCCGACCAGAGAUCAGGAGACGUUACAUGGAUGACUCCCCUGGCAUCUUGCGAGAAAUCACAAGUCUUUGGGUUCUGGGGGGAGUAUGGUCGCAAGGCUGAAACUUAAAGGAAUUGACGGAAGGGCACCACCAGGAGUGGAGCUUGCGGCUUAAUUUGACUCAACACGGGAAAACUCACCCGGUCCGGACACCGUAAGGAUUGACAGACUGAUAGCUCUCUCUUGAUUCGGUGGUUGGUGGUGCAUGGCCGUUCUUAGUUGGUGGAGUAAUUUGUCUGGUUUAUUCCGAUAACGAGCGAGACUCUAGCCUGCUAAAUAGAACGAGGAUAAACCUUUUCAUAGGUCCUCGAUGCUUCUUAGAGGAAUUAGCGG